GUGAUAAUUUUGACAGCACAUAUACAAAAAUUGGAACGAUACAGAGAAGAUUAGCAUGGUCCCUGCACAAAGGUGACAUGCAAAUUCACAAAGCAUUCCAUAUUUUC
Molecule: small nuclear RNA, 107 nt
Organism: Suncus etruscus (white-toothed pygmy shrew)
Lineage: Eukaryota; Metazoa; Chordata; Mammalia; Eulipotyphla; Soricidae
Source: RefSeq, a predicted model, not a curated record